Transfer RNA from Dictyostelium discoideum AX4, 73 nucleotides. It matches the Rfam family "tRNA". From Rfam's summary of the family: Transfer RNA (tRNA) molecules are approximately 80 nucleotides in length. Their secondary structure includes four short double-helical elements and three loops (D, anti-codon, and T loops). The record is from Rfam. Lineage: Eukaryota; Evosea; Eumycetozoa; Dictyosteliales; Dictyosteliaceae.
GCUCGAUUAGCUCAGUCGGCAGAGCGUGGUGCUAAUAACGCCACGGUCGCAGGUUCGAUCCCUGCAUCGAGCA